AGAAACCAAACAUUCAUACAAAAGACAACAUGAAAAAUUACCUUUAAGAGAAAUUUAAACAUCAUCACGACAUUGGCAACAAUAUUGUUGAACCGCAAAAUACAAAACCCAAUCUCCUUCUUUGUAGCUACAACAUAAGCGAUAAAAAUGAUUAUCACUAAUGAAAGACAAAAAUCAACGAUCAGGAUAAAAUGAAAAAAAAUGAUAUAACUGUAUGGACAAAAUGCAACGGGUGUACUGGAAUGAAGAAGCUCU
RNAcentral lists this long non-coding RNA (255 nucleotides) under Lathyrus oleraceus (garden pea). RNAcentral describes it as "Pisum sativum (pea) long non-coding RNA (PSAT_LNC014774)". Lineage: Eukaryota; Viridiplantae; Streptophyta; Magnoliopsida; Fabales; Fabaceae. The record is from RNAcentral.